This 721-nucleotide ribosomal RNA is filed under the name Rhodococcus sp. (in: high G+C Gram-positive bacteria). Its description in RNAcentral is "bacterial SSU rRNA". It matches the Rfam family "Bacterial small subunit ribosomal RNA", at positions 132 to 866 of the family's 1533-position model. The record is from RNAcentral. Lineage: Bacteria; Bacillati; Actinomycetota; Actinomycetes; Mycobacteriales; Nocardiaceae.
UGCACUCUGGGAUAAGCUUGGGAAACUGGGUCUAAUACCGGAUAUGACCACAUGCCGCAUGGUGUGUGGUGGAAAGAUUUAUCGGUGCAGGAUGGGCCCGCGGCCUAUCAGCUUGUUGGUGGGGUAAUGGCCUACCAAGGCGACGACGGGUAGCCGACCUGAGAGGGUGACCGGCCACACUGGGACUGAGACACGGCCCAGACUCCUACGGGAGGCAGCAGUGGGGAAUAUUGCACAAUGGGCGGAAGCCUGAUGCAGCGACGCCGCGUGAGGGAUGAAGGCCUUCGGGUUGUAAACCUCUUUCAGCAGGGACGAAGCGUGAGUGACGGUACCUGCAGAAGAAGCACCGGCUAACUACGUGCCAGCAGCCGCGGUAAUACGUAGGGUGCGAGCGUUGUCCGGAAUUACUGGGCGUAAAGAGUUCGUAGGCGGUUUGUCGCGUCGUUUGUGAAAACCCGGGGCUCAACUUCGGGCUUGCAGGCGAUACGGGCAGACUUGAGUGUUUCAGGGGAGACUGGAAUUCCUGGUGUAGCGGUGAAAUGCGCAGAUAUCAGGAGGAACACCGGUGGCGAAGGCGGGUCUCUGGGAAACAACUGACGCUGAGGAACGAAAGCGUGGGUAGCAAACAGGAUUAGAUACCCUGGUAGUCCACGCCGUAAACGGUGGGCGCUAGGUGUGGGUUCCUUCCACGGGAUCUGUGCCGUAGCUAACGCAUUAAGCG